Asparagus officinalis (garden asparagus) is the source of this 4146-nucleotide long non-coding RNA. RefSeq lists it as uncharacterized. The record is from RefSeq and is a predicted model, not a curated record. The transcript has 2 exons. Lineage: Eukaryota; Viridiplantae; Streptophyta; Magnoliopsida; Asparagales; Asparagaceae.
GGUAAAUGACGGUCAGUUAUAUUACUGUUAAAAAUGUGGGCAUUAUGGAUGCAUUUUAUAAAGCAUAUUGAUCAUAUUAAUGUUGGAAAACAUUGAGAGCACACUAUUAGAUUCAGGUACUAUAUGAUAGUUAUGAUAAUAAAUAAAUACAUAUCGAGUGAUAACUAUGACAACCAGUAGAUAGGAGUCGGUAAUAAUCAUUCAUAAGCCAGAGACAAGUAUCAAAACAGAAAGUUUAUAACAUUUUGACUCAUGUUGUGGCUGAUCUGACUUAUUGGAAUUCAGAAUGUGUUAAAUCAUAUUUGAAUUGACUCAUGUUGUGGCUGAUCCGACUUAUUGGAAUUCAGAAUGUGUUAAAUCAUAUUUGAAUUGACUUAAUCCAACUUCAUCCUAAAAUGCAAGCUCAUAUGGUAUGAUGAAUGUUUCAACCUCUUAUUAAUUUAUUUACUUGGUCAUGGAUCCUAGUGGUAGCCAUGUCCUCAUGCAUUAGAUGCAUGUCUCUGGUGUCUUGUGUGGCACAAUAAAGGACAAGUCUUAACUCUGUCUGGACUCUGGUGUCUAGUAUGUGAGUAUGUGCUAUUUUAUUUUUAAAGAAUUAGUUUGUUCUUUUCAAUAUAUUGUUACCUUUAACACAAAAAAUGACCACUAAUAGUCAGCCCCCCAUGUUGAUUUAUUUACUACACAUUAUGGAGAAGUACAUUUGAGGGCCACUUCUUCUUUAAAGGAUCUUUUAUUUGUUAUUGAAUAUUCAUUUGAGAUGCUACUUUUUAUUUUAUGAUAAUAAAUUUAAGAAGAGUCACUUAUCAGUCACCAUAUUAUACCUACUAUACAUGACAUCAUAACAACAAAGCCCAACCUAAACACCUCAUAGAAACAAGUUUUCAAAGACGAGCAAGGUGAAACCAUAAAUAUUUACAUGCUGGAACUUCUUAGGGAAACCUCACUUUAAAAUAUAAUACUGGAAGAAGAAAUAAAUAAUGUUAAUUUGUUGUUUUCACAUACAGGCUGUUAAGUUCGUAGAAAAUUCAGGCAAUGCAUAAACUUGGAAAGUUUACUACAUAUAAUAUCACAGUUUUGAGUUUUCCUUCACGAACCCAACAAAAGAGCUCAAUCGUAUGCACCCAUAAAUGAGGCACCAAAAUAUAUUUAUGCACAUGCAAGUAGCUGAUGUAUUUUCCUUAUUAGCUAGGUAUUGUAUUAUCACUUACAGGGCCAGCCAGAGCUGAGACAAUGCAUGCAACAAUAUUGGUUGCAGAAAUUGCAUAAUUUUCUUGCCUGCUCUCUCAUGCACAUAAAACUCUUUUUAUAUUGACUUUUUUGUUUCUGACUAAUUCUGCAUACCUCCCCUUUCUCUAUUUGGCAUUUUCCUAUUUACAAUUGCAUUUAUGAUUUUGUGAUUUUCAAUUCUAGAAUUGUGUAAUGUAUCAAUUUUAAUUGCAAGCAGCCAACAAUCUGACUAGACAAUUCACAAGUUAUGUUUUCCAUUUUUUAUUACUAUAGCGGCAAUAAUGAUUUCCCUAAACACUCUGACACUUUAUGAAGAUUAUUUCUUCUCAGGACUCAUGGAUUGUUAGGAUAAUUAUGGUGAUGAUUUUUUUAUGGAUUCAUGGUUUAAUAUAUGGUGAGCUUGUAAUGGACCCACAACCUUCAGAUCUUCAGAUCCGAGUUCUAAGAGAUGUAACAAAACUUCUUGGAUGCAGACAUUAAGAAUCACUCAUGAUUUGUUUUUGUAUAAUUGUAAAUCCACUAUAUUUUCCCCUUGAAAUCCCAUAUCAAAGACCCAGAUCCAAAUCCCCUUAAUAGAAUAGCUGUUUAAUUAAGAAUAGCUGAUGACAACUGUUGUUCUUUAUUUCCUUGCUCUUUCGCCUUCUGAAACAAACAGACACAAACACGUACACAUUUUGCUUUGUACACAAACAUGUAUACAAACGCAAUUAAAGCCAAACAUGAAUGAUUCAUAUAAACAUAUAUGGCUGUUAAAACAUUAUAAUUUAAUUAAUCAAGUAAUAUGUACACUAAAUAUGCUCAGGUGAGUAGUCAUUGAGCUUUUGUUAAACCAGACAUAAUGUGUGUUAAUUGAGGCUGAAUUUCAUCUCAAGCAUUAGAAAUUGUACCUGCUUCUGGAAUCUUUGUUUUGAUAGUUAUAUCCUAAAAGCUUAAGUUGUGGAUCAAAAAACUUCAAAACUGUGAGUUUCCUCAAUUGUUUGGUGUGUUACUUUGAUAUACAUAACAUUAUAUGUUUUGGUGUAGAUUAGUGAAUGGUGUGUUUUUGUUUCGUAAGGCUGACUCGUUAGAUAAAUUUGAAAGAAAUUUAUCAAAAACUAUAAAACCAUGUGUUUUCUUAGGUUGAAGUUUGGUAUGUUGUUUUGGUUGCAUAAGAUAAAUAUGAUCUGGUCUGAAAACAACAAUGCCUGAAAUGGUGAACACACCCUCCCUUACCAAUUGCCAUGUUUCCAAUCCCAUCACCCUCUGGCCUGUUUUUAAAGUGUUUGUAGAGGGACUAGUUUCAAAAUAUGAAUGACUAGUAGGACUCGUAUCAGGAGAGGAAAAAACCCCUUAUAUAUGAUUGUGCAUUUUGUUUAGAAAUGCCUAAACAUCUAAUAAUUUUAUUUAUUUUUAUUAAUUUAUUUGUUGGUUGUUAGUACAGUCAAAUGACAGUCUGUUCUUGCUUCGUCUUUUUGGAUACUUUUUUCAUAGGGGAAAGUAUAAAAGUGCUACUCCUCUCCAAAGCUCUUACUUUCAUGUGAGCGUGUGAUUGAGUGCUUUCACAAUUUUGAGUGUGGGUCAGUAGAGAGUGACCACAUCUUUGAGCCUGUUUUGAUUUUAUAUUUUCUUAUGAUCUAGUGAUAGUUUCUGCAGUAGGUGGAUAAUGUUUUUAGGUUCGAGAAGUACUUGGUAAUUUAAUGCAUUGGAUGAUUUGUUAGCAUUGUAUAUUCAUUUAUCUCCAUAGUUUUAUUUGAACAAACAUUAUCACUAUAUUUUCUUAUGAUCUAGUGAUAGUUUCUGCAUUGGAGUUCUGUGAAGCUCUUAAAGGUCUUGAUAAAAUAAGUAAACAACUAGUUCUAGAUAUUGAGAAGCUAGCAGACACAAAAUAAAGUCAUAAUCUUGCGAAGCAAGUCCAUUUGGUAAUUAUUGCAUUUAAAAGCACAAUCCAUCAUUUGUACUUUAAAGCACCAUGGCUUUUAUUUUUCUCAUUUAUUUUGUGAAGCAAUUGUAGGUGUUGUUUUUGCUUACAGCAGUGUUAAUUGUACUCUUUGAAUAACUCCCGAAUGCAAAGAUAUAUAUCUUUCUUGUUGAAGAAUUAUGAUCUAUUCAAGAAGAUCACUAUUUGAAAGAGCAAACACACCUGACCACCAAGUCGUCAUUCGUGCACUUGUCUAGGGUUCACCCAAUCGAUGUACGCAUGUCACUGAGAUAUUUAGAGGUCCGGCCUUUUUUUAGUAAGAGUUUGGAGGUCAUUGGUUUGAAUUUUUCCUAACAGGCUCUUGGAAGCACUAAUGCGAAUCAUGGGAGCACGUGCAGUGUCCGGGCUUCUUUUGAGAGACAACUGACCAUCAGUGAACUGAAGACUGAGGAACGAAAUCAGAAACUUUCCAGAUAUAGAAAGAAGAAGAGCAAAAGGAAUUUCGGAAGAAAAAUCAAGUAUGCAUGCAGGAAAGCCUUAGCAGACAGUCAGCCGAGGGUCCGAGGGAGGUUUGUGAAAACUGAAGAUUGUGAUUUUUCAAAAGCACUCAAGUAAAGUGAGAUAUGUUGGAACGAUUAAAAAAAAAAGAUUUUAGAGGCUAGUAUUAAUCAGUAGUGCCAAGUUAAGUAAAUCUAAUCGUGGCGUCUAAGUUCCAACAUGAUAUUUGAUACGUUUCAGUUUGUUGACUAAUAUGAUAUUUGAUACGUUUCUUUAUUUUUUGUAGGGGAUAUAAAGACUUAAAUAGGAGAAUGCGGUCAAGAUGGCUUUGAUAUAUGAAUCUUUUGGAACAGACUUGUACUUGUGAAUUGAUCAUAUUUUGAUGGUUGUGAAUUGAUCAUAUUUUGAUGGGUUGAAGUUACCUUGUAACUACUUAUUUUUGAAUGAUGGGCUUAAAACAUAUGAAUGCUUCAUUAUUUUUCAUUUUGAUGAUAUCUUAAUGUAGUGUGUUCUUAUUCCAUUUU